CAUAAAAUUAUUUUGGUUUAUUUUUUUUAAGUAUGGGAUAGGUAUGGGGUAGGUAUGGAUUGGGUAUGGAGAAAUGGAUUAUCUAUGGGUAUCUUCGAAUUCAUUGGGUAUGGAGAUGGGUAUCUCUUUUCUUAUCCGAUCGGAUAUCGGAUAGGAUUUGGGUAUAGGAUAUUAAGUUCGGAUUUGGAGAUAGAUAGGACAAUAUUCGAUUCAAAUCCUACCAUUGCCAUCCUUAUCUGAUUUUCGUCUUUAUAUCUAUGGGAGACCUGAAAAGAUCUGGAGGUAGCGUGUAUAUGAUUAGGGGUGCAAAUGGAUCGAGUCGAAUUGGAUCAUGAGUGUCCUCGAUCCGAUGCAGUCCCUUGAUUGGGUCUUAAUAUUGGAUCUAGAUCCAAUCUAAGUGAAAAUCGGGUUGGAUCG
This 417-nucleotide long non-coding RNA is filed under the name Elaeis guineensis (African oil palm). Its description in RNAcentral is "long non-coding RNA (EGUI_LNC036147)". Lineage: Eukaryota; Viridiplantae; Streptophyta; Magnoliopsida; Arecales; Arecaceae. The record is from RNAcentral.